CUCGUCUUUCUCUCCCCUAAAUCCUGUGCUCCCCUUGGAAAACCGCCCGCUCUGUCGGGGAGGGUGCGCUGCUCGCCGUCAGCAGGAUAGGUUUGGGUUGCUUUUUGGUUUGUAACGAGGGCAGGAGGUGAGACAAUGAUCAAGUCAAGUUGGUUCUACGUCAAGUUCAAGCAUGCAGAGAAGCCCUUGCAGUUCAUUCAGAAAGCCCUCGAGUCCCUGAACACAGCAGAUAAUGUUCCUGCUUUGCUGUCACCGGGUGAUUCUCUGUGUGUGUUACAUAACCUGUCAUACCAGCUUUGUCAGAGACAGAUAUUUUUGAGAUCUACAACCUGGGAAAUUUGAUCAUGGAUGAAAUCCAGGAAGCCCAUUUAAUCUGUAUUCUUAGAGUUACUUGUGCCUUUACAAGACUUUCUUCCGAUUCACCAGGGAAGUUGCCAAGUCUGUUCAUCUGUUGGGGGGGGGGAAUCCCCAAACCAUAAUGCACACACUUAGGAAGACAAAAACUGAAGUGCAUGUCUGGUCUUUUAUUGGAUUUCCUGUGUGAUAAGAGACUGUUAUCCAUUUGGGUUGAAGUGGGGGUUUCUUAAUGGGAGGCUCAGGAGAAAUUUUGGUCUUGGCUAUGAGGUGGGGCUGUCCCCCUCACUGAACGCAGGAUUUUGUGUCAACGUUCUUAUUGUGGCUGGGGCUUCUUCUGCAUUAGCUUCAAGUCUUGUCUGCCUGUGAAAGUUGUACUAGUAUGGCUUGGGUGUGAAUUGACGCUGAAUGUAUUAAACUGGUGCAGUUCUCUGGCGGGGCUCUCUGGGUACACACUCUGUCAAACAAGUGUUUCUGUGAUAGUGUAACCACAGUGGCUUAAAAAAUUAGGUCAAAUUCUUUUGCAACUUCUCUGUGUUGUCAAGGUUUUAGAAAUUGGGUUUAUGUGAGCUAAGCUGAAGAACCUUUGAAAUUCUCAAACCAGCUUUUUAUGGCAGUUUGUCUAAGUGGAUUUAGAAUCUCACUUGGAGAUGCAGUUUCUCCUUUUCAGCUGACACAAGUGUGGGCUGCUGCAGGAAUGAGUGCUCCCACUCCCAGUUGUCAGCAGUAGUGUUUGUGCAGCCACCUGGGGAAGUGACCCAACCCAAACUGAAGGGGUUUUAUUCCUUUUUUGGGCUGGCUUUGUUUUCAGGCAGGUCAGAUGUGUCCCAGCUCACCACAAGUGUACAGCAAGGUGUAGCUGGGAAUACCUGGGUGAGUGUGAGUAGAAAGGACAGUGAUGUCUCUCCUGGCAGCAGCCUGUGAAAAUUAAAUUAAUUUAAGUUUACUCUCCCCAUGUGGAAGUGUUACAUAAUCUCUGUGUAAGGCA
Molecule: long non-coding RNA, 1342 nt
Filed under: Lepidothrix coronata (blue-crowned manakin)
Lineage: Eukaryota; Metazoa; Chordata; Aves; Passeriformes; Pipridae
Description: lncRNA (ENSLCOG00000014937.1)
Source: RNAcentral